Molecule: transfer RNA, 64 nt
Filed under: Diuraphis noxia (Russian wheat aphid)
Lineage: Eukaryota; Metazoa; Arthropoda; Insecta; Hemiptera; Aphididae
Description: tRNA-Arg
Source: RNAcentral
AAAUAAGAAGUAAUAUUUUACAUAUUAAUUUCGACUUAAUAAUAGAUUUAAAAAUCCUUAUUUA